AUGGAUUGCUUCGCGGAGGCUGAAGGAAAGAGGUCGCACGACCCGUUGUACUGCAACCCCCACUCGCCACCGGCUACCGGCUUCCCUGUCGACAACAUCCCCGUGCCGGUCGUCAUCGUUGGUGCAGGGCCGGCAGGGCUGGGGAUGGCCGCACUGCUCGGCGAGGCUGGAGUUCCAUACAAGCUGCUCGAGCGGUGUAGCUGCAUCGGCUCACUCUGGAGGCACCGCACCUACGACAGGUUAUGUUUGCAUCUCCCCAAACAAUUCUGCGAGCUCCCACUCAUGCCAUUCCCCAAAAGCUUCCCCACGUACCCGGCAAGGGACCAGUUUCUGGAGUACCUCGAGUCCUAUGCAAGGAGGUUCAACAUCGAGCCACAGUUCCGCCAGGCCGUCGUCAGCGCCGAAUUCAAUGGAGACUUUUGGUGGAUUCGCACAAAGGAGGUCACCUCACUACCAAUCGGCGGUGAGCAGGACACGUACAGCGGCAAAACAACUUUGUACCGCUGUAAGUGGCUUGUUGUUGCCACCGGAGAGAAUGCCGAGCCAGCGGUGCCAGAGAUCGAGGGCACCGGAAGGUUCAAAGGGCAGCUCAUGCACUCCUGUGAGUACCGUAGCGGUGCAGGUUAUGCUGGAAAACAAGUCCUUGUCGUCGGGUGUGGAAAUUCUGGGAUGGAAGUGUCUCUGGACCUCGCCAACCACAAUGCAAUAACUUCUAUGGUCGUUCGGGGCACGUUGCAUGUUCUGCCUAGGGAGAUGCUAGGGUGCUCCACUUUUGGGAUCUCUUUAUGGCUUCUCAGGUGGUUCCCUGUACAGGCUGUGGACCGGUUUCUCCUUAUGAUGGCACGCUUCAUUAUGGGCGACACAACCAACAUUGGUAUUACUCGGCCAAGCCUUGGCCCAAUGGAGCUUAAGGGCGUUUCUGGUAAAACGCCAGUUCUCGAUGUCGGAACCAUAGCAAAGAUUAAGUCUGGAAGUAUUAAUGUUUUUCCUGGAGUGCGGUGUUUUCAUGAGCACGGUGUGGAGUUUAUUGACGGAAGAACCGAGAACUUUGAUGUUGUUAUUCUUGCCACAGGUUACAAAAGCAAUGUACCUUAUUGGUUAAAGGAGAAAACUUUUUUUUCAGAGAAAGAUGGCUUCCCAAGAAAGUCAAAAGAGUGGAAAGGAAAAAAUGGUCUCUAUGCUGUUGGUUUCUCGAGGAGUGGACUUUUAGCGGUGUAUAAGGAUGCAACCAAGAUCUCGGAGGAUAUUGUUCAACAAUGGCGUGAUAUGUGUAUGGAAGAUGCGAGAGAAACUUUAUCCAAUCGAAGAACACCAUGUCCUAUUUGA
RNAcentral lists this ribosomal RNA (1326 nucleotides) under Triticum aestivum (bread wheat). RNAcentral's name for it is "partial small subunit ribosomal RNA". The record is from RNAcentral. Lineage: Eukaryota; Viridiplantae; Streptophyta; Magnoliopsida; Poales; Poaceae.